Molecule: non-coding RNA, 65 nt
Organism: Dipodomys ordii (Ord's kangaroo rat)
Lineage: Eukaryota; Metazoa; Chordata; Mammalia; Rodentia; Heteromyidae
Source: Rfam
GGUGGCUCAGUGGUAGAGUGCUUGCCUUGCAUGCAUGAAGUCCUGGGUUCGAUUCCUCAGUACCA